UCCCACUCUCUUCCUUCCUCUUCUAUUUCUUUUCCCGCUUCUCUUUCACUCUCUCUAAAACUCAUCCACCUCUCCAUCUCUCCACUUCAUUGCUCUUCAAAUGUACCCGACACCACUGAAAAGGACACCCCGAUUGAAACAAGGUAUCCAGCCUUUCCUACUGUGAUGGACAUCGAUCAGAUAAGAGAGAUAUUACCCCACAAGUUUCCAUUUUUGCUGGUGGAUAGAGUGAUAGAAUAUAAUCCAGGGGUAUCAGCUGUUGGUAUAAAGAAUGUGAGUAUAAAUGAUAACUUUUUCCCUGGACAGUUCCCUGAGAGGCCUAUAAUGCCCGGUGUUCUCAUGGUUGAGGUAAUUAAUCU
Hibiscus syriacus is the source of this 359-nucleotide long non-coding RNA. RefSeq lists it as uncharacterized. NCBI's taxonomy places the organism in Eukaryota, Viridiplantae, Streptophyta, Magnoliopsida, Malvales, Malvaceae. The transcript is spliced from 3 exons. The record is from RefSeq and is a predicted model, not a curated record.